GUGGUUAGUAAAGGCCUAUCUGAGGAGGUGACAUGUGUGCAGAGACCUGAGUUACAGGGAGGAAACAGACGUGAGAAGAUGUGGGGAGCAGUGUCGAAGGCAGAGGGAACAGCCAUUGCAAAGCCCUGAGGUGGGAGGAAGCUGUGCCCCAGAACAGAGAGGAGUCCCGUGAGUCUGCAGGUGAGGGGGGUGGGUGCUGUGAGAUGAAUGGGGGCCUGCGGGAGCACAGAGGCCUGUGUCCCAGGGGAAGCUGUGUGGAUUUUCUUCUGUUUCUUUUUUAAACAAUAUUUAUUUGUUGGGGAGAGUUAUUUGUUUAUGAAUUUAUUUAUUUUGGUGGAAGGACUGGGGACUGAGCCCAGGACCUUGUGCAUGCUAAGCACACGCUCUACCCCUGAGCUGUACCCUCCCCCCAGAUUUUAUUCUUAGAACCAAGAGGAGCCAUGGAGGGCUGCUUGGGGAGGGGCAGGGCAGGCUCUGAGUCGAGCUGCUGAGUGGAGACUGGGCUGGGGCAGAGGGAGGCGGCAGGGAGGGGCUGCUGCGAGGGCCCAGUGAGCGGAGGGGGGGAGCAGCCCUGGGGCCUGGACUGGGGUGUGGAGGAGAGAUCAGACACAGGGUGGGUUCUGGCCACACCGCUGACAGUCUGGAUGUGAGGCGAGGGGGCGCUGCGGAGAUGACCCCAGGCUUUGGGCCUGCGCACCCGCAGGUGGCGGCAGCCAUCAGCUGCCACGGGGAACAGCUGCGGGGCGCAGGUGGGGCGCUCAGGGCGGGCUGUGGAGGCCGGAGGUAGGCCAGCCGUCUUGGUGGAACUGCCCAGGAGGCCGCGGGCUCCCAGGUCUGGGUCCUGGGGGCCAGGCCGGCCGUGAAGAGACCAGGGUGAAGUCGCCACCCACAACCCUUCUCCAGCGGGGAGCAGCAGGCACAAACCCCGUGCCUGACUGUCAGUCUCCCUCCUUGAAGCUGACACCUGUGGACACAUGUUCUCUGUGUAAAUACGUGGCCUCCUGCCUUUUCGCCGUUUCUCGUUCCUUCCUGAGCAUCUUCACCCAAACCACACGUUUAGGGGCCAUCGUCUCAUGUGCUGUCCCUGGGCAGGCAGGCUAGGUUGACUCUGUGCUGCAAACCCUCGCCCAGUCUCCACUGCCCCCCGGCUUCGUUUUUCUCCACACGCUGUCUCCAUCUGACACUGUCUUACUUACUUAUCUGGCGUGCGGCCCAUAGUGGCCCCCGGGACAUCACAGUGUGAGCAGUGACGUGUCUGUUUUCUCUGCUGCAUCGUCAGUGCCUCGACCCGACGGGCACUCUGCACACCCCUACGUCCUCGUGGAAGAACGCAGAUCCCACACAGAAGUGAUACCCUGUGGCAUUUGUCUCUCUCUGUCUGACUUACUUCACUGAGUGUGAUCACCUCUGGGUCCAACCCAGGCCGUCACGUCUUACCUACCAGACUGCAGCCUCUGCUCCUGCUCCUGUCCCCUCUGUUAUCUUUUCAAAAGGCGGUGGUAGCAGUGUGGCAAUUGUGGAACAGGUGUGCAAGUAUCCUGGGAAAGGGUGUAAAUAACACAGCAACGCUGUUUGGAACUGCAGUUUCCUCCAGGCACCUGCAAGGAGAACGUGAGGAAGAGCCCCAGGGUGUCGGACAGGAACUGGGCCGAUCAUUGUGACGUCAGACUGGACUGUUUCAGCUCAUCCAGGACUUCUGCCCCCACCCUGGAACAGCCCUCCCUGCAGGAUGGAGGAUGGUGCGUAGAAACCAGGGUCCCAGUGUGACGUGUGCCUGUCACUGUGGGGGUGUCCUUGCUUCCAGACCCUCUCCCUAGACAGAGGCAGGAAGAAAUUUAUAAAUAUAAAAAUGAACAUAUAUAUAUAUAUAUAA
Molecule: non-coding RNA, 1873 nt
Organism: Vicugna pacos (alpaca)
Lineage: Eukaryota; Metazoa; Chordata; Mammalia; Artiodactyla; Camelidae
Source: RefSeq, a predicted model, not a curated record